GACGAACGCUAGCGGCGUGCUUAACACAUGCAAGUCGAACGGAAAGGCCCUGCUUUUGUGGGGUGCUCGAGUGGCGAACGGGUGAGUAACACGUGAGUAACCUGCCCUAGACUUUGGUGGAGGUUAAGGAACUGGGGCUUAUGCCCGUACCGAAUACCACCUUCGGGGGAGGGGAUGGGAACUUUGGGCCGGUCGGGAUUGAAUUAGCGGCUUUCGGGCUUGUUGGUGGGGGGGGGGUUGACCAAGCCUUGGACGGGUAGCCGGCCGGUGAGGGUGAACGGCCACAUUGGGACUGAGAUACGGCCCAGACUCCUACGGGAGGCAGCAGUGGGGAAUAUUGCACAAUGGGCGGAAGCCUGAUGCAGCAACGCCGCGUGCGUGAUGACGGCCUUCGGGUUGUAAACCGCUUUCGCCUGAGACGAAGCGUGAGUGACGGUAAUGGGUAAAGAAGCACCGGCUAACUACGUG
Molecule: ribosomal RNA, 468 nt
Filed under: uncultured bacterium
Lineage: Bacteria
Description: partial 16S ribosomal RNA
Rfam family: Bacterial small subunit ribosomal RNA
Source: RNAcentral